UACGAAGGGUCCAAGCGUUGUUCGGAAUCAUUGGGCGUAAAGCGCGCGCAGGCGGAUCAGCAAGUCAGAUGUGAAAUCUCGGAGCUCAACUCCGAAACUGCGUCUGAAACUGCUAGUCUAGAAUGUCGGAGGGGGCAGGGGAAUUUCACGUGUAGGGGUAAAAUCCGUAGAGAUGUGAAGGAACACCGGAGGCGAAGGCGCCUGCCUGGACGACUAUUGACGCUGAGGCGCGAAAGCGUGGGGAGCGAACAGG
Molecule: ribosomal RNA, 253 nt
Filed under: uncultured bacterium
Lineage: Bacteria
Description: partial 16S ribosomal RNA
Rfam family: Bacterial small subunit ribosomal RNA
Source: RNAcentral